Molecule: signal recognition particle RNA, 300 nt
Filed under: Aotus nancymaae (Ma's night monkey)
Lineage: Eukaryota; Metazoa; Chordata; Mammalia; Primates; Aotidae
Description: Metazoan signal recognition particle RNA (ENSANAG00000010206.1)
Rfam family: Metazoan signal recognition particle RNA
About the family: The signal recognition particle (SRP) is a universally conserved ribonucleoprotein. It is involved in the co-translational targeting of proteins to membranes. The eukaryotic SRP consists of a 300-nucleotide 7S RNA and six proteins: SRPs 72, 68, 54, 19, 14, and 9.
Source: RNAcentral
GCCAGGCGCAGUGGCGUGUGCCUGUAGUCCCAGCUACCCGGGAGGCUGAGGUGGGAGGAGCACUUGAGCCCAGGAGUUCUGGGCUGUAGUGCACUAUGCCAAUUGGGUGUCCACACUAAGUUCGGCAUCAAUAUGGUUACCUCCCGGGAGCAGGGGACCACCAGGUUGCCUAAGUAAGGGUGAAUCGGCCCAGGUCCAAAACGGAGCAGGUCAAAAACUUUCAUGCUGAUCAGUAGUGGGAUCGCACCUGUGAACAGCCACUGCACUCCAGCCUGGGUAACAGAGCGAGACCCCACCUCU